AGCGAACGCUGGCGGCAGGCUUAACACAUGCAAGUCGAGCGGGCAUCCUUGUGGUGUCAGCGGCAGACGGGUGAGUAACGCGUGGGAACGUGCCCUUCGGUUCGGAAUAACUCAGGGAAACUUGAGCUAAUACCGGAUACGUGCGAGAGCAGAAAGGUUUAUCUGCCGAAGGAUCGGCCCGCGUCUGAUUAGCUAGUUGGUGAGGUUACGGCUCACCAAGGCGACGAUCAGUAGCUGGUCUGAGAGGAUGAUCAGCCACACUGGGACUGAGACACGGCCCAGACUCCUACGGGAGGCAGCAGUGGGGAAUAUUGGACAAUGGGGGCAACCCUGAUCCAGCCAUGCCGCGUGAGUGAUGACGGCCUUAGGGUUGUAAAGCUCUUUUCUCCGGGACGAUAGUGACGGUACCGGAGGAAUAAGCCCCGGCUAACUUCGUG
This 437-nucleotide ribosomal RNA is filed under the name uncultured bacterium. RNAcentral's name for it is "partial 16S ribosomal RNA". It matches the Rfam family "Bacterial small subunit ribosomal RNA", at positions 29 to 507 of the family's 1533-position model. The record is from RNAcentral.